Molecule: non-coding RNA, 554 nt
Organism: Pelobates cultripes (western spadefoot toad)
Lineage: Eukaryota; Metazoa; Chordata; Amphibia; Anura; Pelobatidae
Source: the annotation of a GenBank genome assembly
AUACAUUUAAGCAGGUUUAUGGGACACCAGGGCCGCCACCAGAAAUGUUGGGGCCCCUAACUCAGCUUAGGGUCUGGGGCCCGCCUCCAAUCCCACCCACAGGGUCCGCCUCCAAAUCCCACCCAAAGGAAUACACACACAGACACAAACACACACACUGAUACAAAAGGACACAGAUACACACACAGAUACAUACUAACAGACACACAUACUGAAACAGACAUACACACAUACAUAUACAGACACACAGGCAUACAUAGUGACAGACAGACACAUAAUAACAUACAUAUAGACACAUGCAUGAGGACAUACAGACACAUACAUACAGACACCGACAUACGUACAUUCAUAAUGACAUACAGACAUACUUAUAUACAGACAUACUGACAGACAUACAGACAGACAUACAGACACUGACAUCCAUACACACAUACAUUCAUAAUGGCAUACAGACAUACAUUCAUACUGGCAUACAUGCAUAUAUAUAGACAUACUGACAUACAUGCACACUGACGUCCAUACACACAUACACGCAGACACACGUUCAUAAUGAC